Molecule: ribosomal RNA, 330 nt
Filed under: uncultured soil bacterium
Lineage: Bacteria
Description: bacterial SSU rRNA
Rfam family: Bacterial small subunit ribosomal RNA
Source: RNAcentral
AGAUUGAACGCUGGCGGCAGGCCUAACACAUGCAAGUCGAGCGGCAGCACGGGUACUUGUACCUGGUGGCGAGCGGCGGACGGGUGAGUAAUGCCUAGGAAUCUGCCUGAUAGUGGGGGAUAACGUUCGGAAACGGACGCUAAUACCGCAUACGUCCUACGGGAGAAAGUGGGGGAUCUUCGGACCUCACGCUAUCAGAUGAGCCUAGGUCGGAUUAGCUAGUUGGUAGGUAAAGCCUACAAGGCUACGAUCCGUAACUGGUCUGAGAGGAUGAUCAGUCACACUGGAACUGAGACACGGUCCAGACUCCGUACGGGAGCAGCAGGUGGG